GCAGGAAUGGUGGAAUUGGUAGACACCUCAGAUUUAAGCUCUGAUGUUCAUUAGAACGUGUGGGUUCAAGUCCCACUUCCUGUA
RNAcentral lists this transfer RNA (84 nucleotides) under Crassvirales sp. RNAcentral describes it as "tRNA-Leu". It matches the Rfam family "tRNA". Rfam says of the family: Transfer RNA (tRNA) molecules are approximately 80 nucleotides in length. The record is from RNAcentral. Lineage: Duplodnaviria; Heunggongvirae; Uroviricota; Caudoviricetes; Crassvirales.